AGGGAGGGGACACAGAGGGGACAGACAGAGGGACAGGGGGACACAGAGGGGACCCCACCCCUUCCCAAGCCCCUUUUUUGGGGGGCAGGACCAAAAUUGGGGGCUGCAGCCCCUCCCCCCCGUCCCAUCCCUGUCCCCAAGUGUCCCCAGGUGUCCCCAGGUGUCCCCAGGCAGGGAGGAGCCGAGGGUGGAACCACUGGAGUUUAAUGGGAUGGAGCAAUUCCUGCAGAAUAAACAAUUCCUGAGA
Molecule: long non-coding RNA, 247 nt
Organism: Catharus ustulatus (Swainson's thrush)
Lineage: Eukaryota; Metazoa; Chordata; Aves; Passeriformes; Turdidae
Exons: 2
Source: RefSeq, a predicted model, not a curated record